AAUUUGUGUGUGUGUUUAGGGAUGCACUGGCAGGGAGCAUCGGUGCUGACUCUGGACUUGAGCCUUCCUGUGGAUAGCAGGGGCUGUGGCUGGCAUUGUGUCUGCCCUUGGGGAGCCCAGAGGGAACAGUGCACGGGAGGGGCGUGGUGCAUGCGUGUUGCUUUGCAACACCACCCCACCUCCUCUCUCUGCCUUGCUCCGCGCACUUUGGAUUCCUGCAUGUGUGUCUCCCCUGCCAGGUGCACCCCCGGGCGGCGGUUCCAUGAAGCUCCUCUCCUCUGCCGGUGCCAGACUUAAAACUGGUGCAGAUCAGGGGAAUCCCACUGUUUAAGUAAAACAAAGCAUCAGGAAGGCCCACAGCGGGUGUUGACUGAUGUGAUUUCUGCCCAGUGCGCUGAAUGUGGAACUGAGGAAUUUCAAUGAAUUGCGGGUAAACAGCGGGAGUAACUGUGACUCUCUUAAGGUAGCCAAAUGCCUCCUCAUCUAAUUAGAGAAGCACAUGAAUGGAUGAAUGAGAUUCCCACUG
Molecule: non-coding RNA, 526 nt
Filed under: Sus scrofa (pig)
Lineage: Eukaryota; Metazoa; Chordata; Mammalia; Artiodactyla; Suidae
Description: Eukaryotic large subunit ribosomal RNA
Rfam family: Eukaryotic large subunit ribosomal RNA
Source: Rfam by way of RNAcentral